AGCAACCCUCCUGCCUUGGCCCCCCAAAGUGUUGGGAUUACAGGCAUGAGCCACCAUGCCUAGCUCCACAUCAGGUAUUUCUAAUGAGAAUUGAACCUACAAAUUGAAAUGUUGCUUCAACAACAGAAGAUGGAGAUGGGAAGAGAAUGGUGGGGGAUGUGGUAGCAAAGAAGCUAUUCCAAUGAUCCAACCUCAAGAUCAUGCAAAUGUGAACUAAAGCAAUGGCAUCAGGAUGGAGCAGAGAAGAUGGACUGGAGAGAGUUUUAGGAGGUGGAGGAAGGUAGCCUGGGCCCAACUGAACUCACUGUGUAUUCAGAAAAUAACCCACAGUUGGGAAAUUCA
Molecule: long non-coding RNA, 342 nt
Filed under: Homo sapiens (human)
Lineage: Eukaryota; Metazoa; Chordata; Mammalia; Primates; Hominidae
Description: HSALNT0220401
Source: RNAcentral